GAGAAGCUUGCGUCUGAUUAGCUUGUUGGUGAGGUAAAAGCUUACCAAGGCGACGAUCAGUAUCUGGUUUGAGAGGACGAUCAGACACACUGGAACUGAGACACGGUCCAGACUCCUACGGGAGGCAGCAGUAGGGAAUUUUCCGCAAUGGGCGAAAGCCUGACGGAGCACUACCGCGUGAGUGGAUGACUGCCUAUGGGUUGUAAACCUCUUUUUUCAGGGAGGAAUAAAUGACGUGUACCUGAAGAAUAAGCAUCGGCUAACUCCGUGCCAGCAGCCGCGGUAAGACGGAGGAUGCAAGUGUUAUCCGGAAUCACUGGGCGUAAAGCGUCUGUAGGUGGCCAAAUAAGUCAACUGUUAAAUCUUGAGGCUUAACCUCAAAAUCGCAGUCGAAACUAUUAGGCUAGAGUAUAGUAGGGGUAAAGGGAAUUUCCAGUGGAGCGGUGAAACGCGUAGAGAUUGGAAAGCACACCGAUGGCGAAGGCACUUAGCUGGGCUAUUACAAACACUCAGAGACGAAAGCUAGGGUAGCAAAUGGGAUGAGAUACCCCAGUAGUCCUAGCUGAAAACGAUGGGUACUAGAUGUUGAACAGAUCGACCUGUGCAGUAUCAAAGCUGACGCGUUAAGUAUCCCGCCUGGGAAGUAUGCU
RNAcentral lists this ribosomal RNA (650 nucleotides) under uncultured organism. Its description in RNAcentral is "bacterial SSU rRNA". It matches the Rfam family "Bacterial small subunit ribosomal RNA", at positions 224 to 886 of the family's 1533-position model. The record is from RNAcentral.